Molecule: ribosomal RNA, 694 nt
Filed under: uncultured bacterium
Lineage: Bacteria
Description: bacterial SSU rRNA
Rfam family: Bacterial small subunit ribosomal RNA
Source: RNAcentral
AACGCUAGCUACAGGCUUAACACAUGCAAGUCGAGGGGCAGCAUGGUCUUAGCUUGCUAAGACUGAUGGCGACCGGCGCACGGGUGAGUAACACGUAUCCAACCUGCCGUCUACUCUUGGACAGCCUUCUGAAAGGAAGAUUAAUACAAGAUGGCAUCAUGAGUCCGCAUGUUCACAUGAUUAAAGGUAUUCCGGUAGACGAUGGGGAUGCGUUCCAUUAGUUUGUUGGCGGGGUAACGGCCCACCAAGACUACGAUGGAUAGGGGUUCUGAGAGGAAGGUCCCCCACAUUGGAACUGAGACACGGUCCAAACUCCUACGGGAGGCAGCAGUGAGGAAUAUUGGUCAAUGGGCGAGAGCCUGAACCAGCCAAGUAGCGUGAAGGAUGAAGGCUCUAUGGGUCGUAAACUUCUUUUAUAUGGGAAUAAAGUUUUCCACGUGUGGAAUUUUGUAUGUACCAUAUGAAUAAGGAUCGGCUAACUCCGUGCCAGCAGCCGCGGUAAUACGGAGGAUCCGAGCGCUAUCCGGAUUUAUUGGGUUUAAAGGGAGCGUAGGUGGAUUGUUAAGUCAGUUGUGAAAGUUUGCGGCUCAACCGUAAAAUUGCAGUUGAAACUGGCAGUCUUGAGUACAGUAGAGGUGGGCGGAAUUCGUGGUGUAGCGGUGAAAUGCUUAGAUAUCACGAAGAACUCCGAUUG